This is a long non-coding RNA of Portunus trituberculatus (swimming crab), 721 nucleotides long. RefSeq lists it as uncharacterized. The transcript is spliced from 3 exons. The record is from RefSeq and is a predicted model, not a curated record. Lineage: Eukaryota; Metazoa; Arthropoda; Malacostraca; Decapoda; Portunidae.
AAUUUUGUUUUGUUUCAGGAUGCAGCCCUUGCUACGACUUAGGAGACCUUUCCAAAUUUGAGGCGCGCCGACGCGCCGUGUGGCCACUGGAAACGAUACUUACCUGGGCGCCAGAAGGGAGUGAACACACAGCGUAGUCGUCGGCGGAGAAGCCCCAACCCAGCAGGCCGUCGUGCAUCACGGCAGUAAGCAGUGCCACCCAUCCUAGCUUGCUCUGGAUGAAAUUAAACUCACGCCAAGUGAGGGUGGCUCCAACGGAAGGCAGAGACGAGACUCCGACGAUGAAGAUUUUCAGACCGAAACAGACACAUAUUUGGGGAACUGCGGUCACUACAAUCUACUUCCCUCGAAGGCGUGGGGUAAACUGAAGCUUACGUCUGGCAGCUGCCGCGAGGAAUACUUCACUUCUACCCGGGACUUCACUUGUAACUGCUACACCGGUGCCGCAGUAAAAAAAUGUCUUGAAGUGUCUUGCUCAUCUGCGCGUGCGUGGGUGGCCUAUGCACUGCCAGACGCACGAGGAGUUAGGACAAGAUUUACUAAGCAUACUGCGCAUGCGUGAGCAACAUGUCAUACUGCACCAUCAUGUAUAGGGAUAAAUACAUGUAUUUUCCAAAUUCUUUCGUCGUAUAUACAGUCAAAUAAAAUGUUUAUUUAAAAAAUUCAAAUUAUUGGCAUACAAACAGGUCAUUAAUAUCACAAAUAAAUAUUUCCAUCUCAA